GUUGACCUCGGAUCAGGUAGGGAUACCCGCUGAACUUAAGCAUAUCAAUAAGCGGAGGAAAAAGGAUC
RNAcentral lists this ribosomal RNA (68 nucleotides) under Sydowia polyspora. RNAcentral describes it as "partial 26S ribosomal RNA". It matches the Rfam family "Eukaryotic large subunit ribosomal RNA", at positions 1 to 66 of the family's 3401-position model. The record is from RNAcentral. Lineage: Eukaryota; Fungi; Ascomycota; Dothideomycetes; Dothideales; Dothioraceae.